This is a non-coding RNA of Acanthosepion pharaonis, 108 nucleotides long. The record is from the annotation of a GenBank genome assembly. Lineage: Eukaryota; Metazoa; Mollusca; Cephalopoda; Sepiida; Sepiidae.
UAUGGCCACAUCACAUUGAAACACUGGUCCCCAUACAAUCACUGAAGUUAAGCAAUGUCAAGCCUGGUCAGUAUCUAGAUGGGUAACCACUUUGGAAUACUAGGUGCU